Long non-coding RNA from Mastomys coucha (southern multimammate mouse), 771 nucleotides. RefSeq lists it as uncharacterized. The transcript has 5 exons. NCBI's taxonomy places the organism in Eukaryota, Metazoa, Chordata, Mammalia, Rodentia, Muridae. The record is from RefSeq and is a predicted model, not a curated record.
CUUCCCUUUGUGACUCAAACCUAUCACCGAGGGACCCACUCUCCAAUCCUUUCCUUUUACAUUCGUCACCCAGGUACACAGGCAGAGUCUGUGUCCCAUAGUCCUGCUCUCACAUAUCCUACAAGGGAUAGUUAGAAAUCCCCAAGACCUGAUGUUUGCACUGGGAGAAGUCCAGGUUUCAACCUCUUGCUAGAAGAAAUGAGCUGACACUCUGCAAGAACAUUUGUGGGGGAAUAAAGAAGUAUCUAUGGUGGGGAUGUCAAUAGAGGACAAAGCAAGAGCACAGUUGGGGAGUGACAGUCUUGGGCUCAGUCUCUGCCCUUCAUGAGAUUAGAAGUAAAGAGAGGAAUGCAUGACUACCCACCCCAGUUGGUUCAAGUCUCCAGGUUUGCCAAGGUUCACAGGUCACAGUGCAGACACCAGAGAAUCGGGACACAGCUGAUGGUCAACCAGUGUAAAAGAGGAGACGAGUCUCAGAAGGAGAGCUUUGAAAUGGUCAACGUGUGGCAAGGAGUGAUGCUCAGGGAGAAGCUGAUCUAAUCGUGAAGACGACUGGGCUAUGCCAGAGUCUGUGAAAAUCCCAUCAGUGGAGGACCAGCAUCUUCUCUCUGUCUUCCUCUACUUCCAAUCUGCCGUGAGGUGAGCAGCUUUGUCGUAUGGACACCAUGCACAGUGAGCUCAGCCUCAAGUCAGGCUCAAAGGCGUGGGGCCAAGUGAUCAUGAAUAGAAACUUCUGGAACCAUGCACUGGAAUAAAUCUUCCCUCCUCUAA